CGUCCCUUGGAUGCUCCCUAAGGAGACCUCAGGUCAGGCGGGGCUACCCGCUGAGUUUAAGCAUA
Molecule: ribosomal RNA, 65 nt
Filed under: Robinia pseudoacacia
Lineage: Eukaryota; Viridiplantae; Streptophyta; Magnoliopsida; Fabales; Fabaceae
Description: partial 26S ribosomal RNA
Source: RNAcentral